AAUCAACGCUGGCGGCAUGCCUAACACAUGCAAGUCGAACGGGAAAGUGGGAGCAAUCCCAUGAGUAUAGUGGCGCACGGGUGAGUAACACGUGACUAACCUACCCUCGAGUGGGGAAUAACCCCGGGAACCGGGGCUAACACCGCAUAAUACCGCAAGGUCAAAUGCGCAAGCAGCUUGAGGAGGGGGUCGCGGUUGAUUAGCUAGUUGGUAGGGUAAUGGCCUACCAAGGCAGNGAUCAAUAGCCGGCCUGAGAGGGCGCACGGCCACACUGGAACUGAAACACGGUUCAGACUCCUACGGGAGGCAGCAGUGGGGAAUUUUGCGCAAUGGGGGAAACCCUGACGCAGCAACGCCGCGUGGAGGAUGAAGUCCCUUGGGACGUAAACUCCUUUCGACCGGGACGAUUAUGACGGUACCGGUGGAAGAAGCCCCGGCUAACUUCGU
RNAcentral lists this ribosomal RNA (447 nucleotides) under uncultured bacterium. RNAcentral's name for it is "bacterial SSU rRNA". It matches the Rfam family "Bacterial small subunit ribosomal RNA", at positions 32 to 506 of the family's 1533-position model. The record is from RNAcentral.